GGGGGGGGGGAGGGGUCCCUCAGCCAGGAUUGCGAGAGGGGGCAGACCAGGCUGAGGGACUCCACCAGUGCACA
RNAcentral lists this microRNA precursor (74 nucleotides) under Myotis brandtii (Brandt's bat). RNAcentral describes it as "mir-9193 microRNA precursor family". It matches the Rfam family "mir-9193 microRNA precursor family". Lineage: Eukaryota; Metazoa; Chordata; Mammalia; Chiroptera; Vespertilionidae. The record is from Rfam by way of RNAcentral.